GCCUGGUUAGCUCAAUCGGUAGAGCGUUUGACUCUUAAGAUUUUCUUCUUAUAAAGAAGUGCAAUCAAAAGGCUGCGGGUUCGAGCCCCGCAUCGGGCU
Pichia kudriavzevii is the source of this 99-nucleotide non-coding RNA. The record is from Rfam. Lineage: Eukaryota; Fungi; Ascomycota; Pichiomycetes; Pichiales; Pichiaceae.